GAGCUAUUUUACAGUGGAUUUUAUGAUCCUGGCACAUACAUGAUCAAUAAGUAAUUGUUGGUUGCAAGAUUAGAGGGAUGCAUGGAUGGGAAAUCCAAGUAUGUAGAAACGAAGCAGAUAGUUCAAGGCCCCUGAGAAGGUAGCAGCAGAUGGGCCCUUUACAUAGGGAUUGCCCUGGGGAAGAAAAGGGACGUCCUUUCCAUGUUCACAGGAGGGAAGGAGAAGCAGCAGAGUACAGAUGUAGGUAGGCUGGGAGACAGGGAGAAGAUGGCAUUCCUGUCUGAGGGUUUCUAAUUUCUCUGUGAAGUGGGAGAUGAAAGGAUGAGGCGUUGGGGGGAGGGUAUGAAGAUCUGAGGAGACAAGGCAGAUUUAAAACAGUUGCUGCAGAGAGGAGGAGAGAGCGAGCUGACCCAACCCUCAGCUCCAGUGGAGGAGCAGAUAGAAUUCUCCUUAUUGAUCUCUUCCUUGAGCACUU
Molecule: long non-coding RNA, 475 nt
Filed under: Pan troglodytes (chimpanzee)
Lineage: Eukaryota; Metazoa; Chordata; Mammalia; Primates; Hominidae
Description: long non-coding RNA NONPTRT015282
Source: RNAcentral